CAGCCGCCGCGGUAAAACGUAGGGUGCAAGCGUUAAUCGGAAUUACUGGGCGUAAAGCGUGCGCAGGCGGUUUUGUAAGACAGAGGUGAAAUCCCCGGGCUCAACCUGGGAACUGCCUUUGUGACUGCAAGGCUAGAGUACGGCAGAGGGGGAUGGAAUUCCGCGUGUAGCAGUGAAAUGCGUAGAUAUGCGGAGGAACACCGAUGGCGAAGGCAAUCCCCUGGGCCUGUACUGACGCUCAUGCACGAAAGCGUGGGGAGCAAACAGGAUUAGAUACCCGAGUAGUCCCUGUCUCUUAUAC
RNAcentral lists this ribosomal RNA (301 nucleotides) under uncultured bacterium. RNAcentral describes it as "partial 16S ribosomal RNA". It matches the Rfam family "Bacterial small subunit ribosomal RNA", at positions 509 to 807 of the family's 1533-position model. The record is from RNAcentral.